AAACCCUAGAUCAAAAUUCGUCUGCCUCUUUAGGUCUCUCAAUCGUCUGCGACAAUUUUCACUCGAUCUUCAAAUCACAAUCCUCUACAAUUGACGGGUUUUCACCUCUUCGCCACAAUCCAAUCGGAAGAUUUUUACUCCGUCACCGGAACAUGAACGGAAUAAAUUCCGGUGUGAAGGUACUGAAGCCGGAAGAGAUGAGUGCGAAAGAAGAUUGGAAGAGAUGAGCGCGAAAGAAGAUUUGUUUUAGAACUAGGGUUUAAUGUGGUUUUGAGUUUUUUUAAUUCCGUUAAGUUUGUUUCAGAAUAAUCUCUGAUUCGGUUUUUGAUGCUACAGAGUUUUAUAUUUUCUGGUAUUAUGGAUAACCUAUGUUUGAUGAUUC
This is a long non-coding RNA of Helianthus annuus (common sunflower), 382 nucleotides long. RefSeq lists it as uncharacterized. The record is from RefSeq and is a predicted model, not a curated record. The transcript has 2 exons. Lineage: Eukaryota; Viridiplantae; Streptophyta; Magnoliopsida; Asterales; Asteraceae.